This 479-nucleotide ribosomal RNA is filed under the name Auricularia polytricha. RNAcentral describes it as "partial 18S ribosomal RNA". The stretch from base 156 to 309 matches the Rfam family "5.8S ribosomal RNA". Lineage: Eukaryota; Fungi; Basidiomycota; Agaricomycetes; Auriculariales; Auriculariaceae. The record is from RNAcentral.
CUUUUAACCCGAUCGUUCAGCUGUGCGCCUUUAACCGGGCUGCACGCUGGAGCAAGACCCCACACCUGUGCACCUUUUCGGUUGCGGCUUCGGUCGCUGCCGCUUUUAAAUGCAACAACUCAGUCUCGAAUGUUAACAAAACCAUAAAAAAUAACAACUUUCAACAACGGAUCUCUUGGCUCUCGCAUCGAUGAAGAACGCAGCGAAAUGCGAUAAGUAAUGUGAAUUGCAGAAUUCAGUGAAUCAUCGAAUCUUUGAACGCAUCUUGCGCUCCUUGGUAUUCCAUGGAGCAUGCCUGUUUGAGUGUCACGUAAACCCUCACCCUUGCGAUGUAACAGUCGCUCGCGGUGGACUUGGACUGUGCCGUAACCGGCUCGUCUUGAAAUGCAUUAGCUGGCGCUUUUAGAGUGCUGGGCGACGGUGUGAUAAUUAUCUGCGCCAAUGCCUUAGGCCUCUUCAGCGGUGCUGCUUACAGCCGU